UAUAUACCUAAAUAUACCUACAAAUAUUAUACGGUCCAUAACAAAGUUUACAGAACUGUACCUACUAGCCAAUGCAUGUAUGCGUGGACUUAGAUAUCAAUAUUACAUUCAUAGCUGGUAUCUAUUUUAACCACUUCAUAUUCAAAUAUUCAUAACGCACACUAUGUGGGUAGAUAUAAAGGGUAAAAAUUCAGUGUUUAACAAUGUAAAAACCACGCAAGUUAUUGUAGAAUAUAAAUUGUACAUUAUAAGAGUAAGUAAGUAUAAGUUACGCACUUACAAUACAAUAUAAAUAGGUAUUUCGAUAAUAAUUAAUACUACCUAAUUACUCAUUAGUAUUUAUUAUUUUCUAUUGUUGAUACACUCAACUCAAUAAGUACCUAAUGGCCUUAAAUAAUCAUAGAU
This is a long non-coding RNA of Myzus persicae (green peach aphid), 405 nucleotides long. RefSeq lists it as uncharacterized. NCBI's taxonomy places the organism in Eukaryota, Metazoa, Arthropoda, Insecta, Hemiptera, Aphididae. The transcript has 2 exons. The record is from RefSeq and is a predicted model, not a curated record.